AGUCGGACGGUAACGGGUAAGUACUUGUACUUAUGCUGACGAGUGGCGGACGGGUGAGUAAUGCUUGGGAAUCUGUCUUAUGGAGGGGGAUAACGACGGGAAACUGUCGCUAAUACCGCGUAGAGUCGGGAGACGAAAGUGCGGGACUUAAUGGCCGCAUGCCAUGAGAUGAGCCCAAGUGUGAUUAGGUAGUUGGUGGGGUAAAGGCCUACCAAGCCGACGAUCGCUAGCUGGUCUGAGAGGAUGGCCAGCCACACCCGGGACUGAGACACGGCCCGGACUCCUACGGGAGGCAGCAGUGGGGAAUAUUGCGCAAUGGGGGCAACCCUGACGCAGCCAUGCCGCGUGAAUGAAGAAGGCCUUCGGGUUGUAAAGUUCUUUCGGUGGUGAGGAAGGGAUGUUGUUUAAUAGAUAACAUCAUUGACGUUAACUACAGAAGAAGCACCGGCUAACUCCGUGCCAGCAGCCGCGGUAAUACGGAGGGUGCGAGCGUUAAUCGGAAUAACUGGGCGUAAAGGGCACGCAGGCGGACCUUUAAGUGAGGUGUGAAAUCCCCGGGCUUAACCUGGGAAUUGCAUUUCAUACUGGGGGUCUGGAGUACUUUAGGGAGGGGUAGAAUUCCACGUGUAGCGGUGAAAUGCGUAGAGAUGUGGAGGAAUACCGAAGGCGAAGGCAGCCCCUUGGGGAUGUACUGACGCUGAUGUGCGAAAGCGUGGGGAGCAAACAGGAUUAGAUACCCUGGUAGUCCACGCUGUAAACGGUGUCGAUUUGGGGAUUGGGGUUUAGCCUUGGUGCCCGAAGCUAACGUGAUAAAUCGACCGCCUGGGGAGUACGGCCGCAAGGUUAAAACUCAAAUGAAUUGACGGGGGCCCGCACAAGCGGUGGAGCAUGUGGUUUAAUUCGAUGCAACGCGAAGAACCUUACCUACUCUUGACAUCCAUGGAAUCCUGUAGAGAUACGGGAGUGCCUUUGGGGAACCAUGAGACAGGUGCUGCAUGGCUGUCCGUCAGCUCGUGUUGUGAAAUGUUGGGUUAAGUCCCGCAACGAGCGCAACCCUUAUCCUUUGUUGCCAGCGACUUGGUCGGGAACUCAAAGGAGACUGCCGGUGAUAAACCGGAGGAAGGUGGGGAUGACGUCAAGUCAUCAUGGCCCUUACGAGUAGGGCUACACACGUGCUACAAUGGCGUAUACAGAGGGUAACCAACCGGUGAUGGGGAGUAAUCUCAGAAAGUACGUCUAGUUCGGAUG
RNAcentral lists this ribosomal RNA (1248 nucleotides) under Aggregatibacter actinomycetemcomitans. Its description in RNAcentral is "bacterial SSU rRNA". It matches the Rfam family "Bacterial small subunit ribosomal RNA", at positions 60 to 1299 of the family's 1533-position model. Lineage: Bacteria; Pseudomonadati; Pseudomonadota; Gammaproteobacteria; Pasteurellales; Pasteurellaceae. The record is from RNAcentral.